This is a long non-coding RNA of Lactuca sativa (garden lettuce), 528 nucleotides long. RefSeq lists it as uncharacterized. NCBI's taxonomy places the organism in Eukaryota, Viridiplantae, Streptophyta, Magnoliopsida, Asterales, Asteraceae. The record is from RefSeq and is a predicted model, not a curated record.
CAAAAGAAAAGAAAUGUGCCUCUCUCUCUCUCUCUCUCCGAUCACAUCUAGUGGCAGAUACAAGUAUUUCACGUCUGAUGACUUCAACAAUCACCAAAAUCAAUCUCUGGAACCCCCAACGAACAAAAUUCCCCUUCUAAAAACCAUCGAUUUUUGAAAACCCCAUAUCCUACCCCAUAACCAUCUUCUUAUGAACCUUCAAGUUUUGUAAACCCGAGAUUCAAAGACCAAACAUAGAUCUUUUCAUCAGUUUCUUUGUUUUCGGUGAAGUUCAUGUUUUGGAGAGGCGGAAUAGAUAAGUGGGUUUUUGAAAAGUCUCUCCUGUUAAAAUUUCUUAGUAAAAAGCUUCUCAUGGAUCUGGAUUUUUUGUAUAUUGAUUAUGGUAUUCUGUAUAUCGAUCUAAUUUCUUUUUGUAUAUUGCAUCUAUUUUUUGUGUAGCAACGACUGUAUCAGGGUUUUAUUUGUAUAUUGUAUUUGGGUUUCUUUUAUUCAUAGUUCUCGUAAGGAGUUGGUGGUUCCGAACUUUAA